GUGUUUGCUUUGGCAGCACAUAUCCUAAAAUUGGAAUAAUAUAGAGAAUAUUACCAUGGCUCUUGCACAGGGAUAACACACAAAUUUGUAAAAUUUGUUCAGAUUAAU
Small nuclear RNA from Ailuropoda melanoleuca (giant panda), 108 nucleotides. Lineage: Eukaryota; Metazoa; Chordata; Mammalia; Carnivora; Ursidae. The record is from Ensembl.